RNAcentral lists this transfer RNA (72 nucleotides) under Clostridium acetobutylicum ATCC 824. It matches the Rfam family "tRNA". From Rfam's summary of the family: Transfer RNA (tRNA) molecules are approximately 80 nucleotides in length. Lineage: Bacteria; Bacillati; Bacillota; Clostridia; Eubacteriales; Clostridiaceae. The record is from Rfam by way of RNAcentral. RNAcentral also lists the same sequence under 1 other name.
GCGGGAAUAGCUCAGUGGUAGAGCACUAGCUUCCCAAGCUGGGUGCCGCGGGUUCGAUACCCGUUUCCCGCU